Non-coding RNA from Phrynosoma platyrhinos (Desert horned lizard), 72 nucleotides. The record is from the annotation of a GenBank genome assembly. NCBI's taxonomy places the organism in Eukaryota, Metazoa, Chordata, Lepidosauria, Squamata, Phrynosomatidae.
UCCCUGGUAGUCUAGUGGUUAGGAUUCAAUGCUCUCACCGCUGCGGGCUGGGUUCAAUUCCCAGCCAGUGAA